CCUACGGGUGGCAGCAGUGGGGGAUCUUGCACAAUGGGGGAAACCCUGAUGCAGCGACGCCGCGUGAGUGAUGAAGUAUUUCGGUAUGUAAAGCUCUAUCAGCAGGGAAGAAAAUGACAGUACCUGACCAAGAAGCCCCGGCUAACUACGUGCCAGCAGCCGCGGUAAUACGUAGGGGGCAAGCGGUAUCCGGAUUUACUGGGUGUAAAGGGUGCGUAGAGGGUUAUGUAAGACUGGAGUGAAAGGCUGGGGGCCAACCCCGGGACUGCUAUGGAAACUGUGUAACUGGAGUACAGGAGGGGCAGGCGGAAUUCCUGGUGUAGCGGUGAAAUGCGUAGAUAUCAGGAAGAACACCAGCGGCGAAGGCGGCCUGCUGGACUGAAACUGACGUUGAGGCGCGAAAGCGUGGGGAGCAAACAGGAUUAGAUACCCGUGUAGUC
This 440-nucleotide ribosomal RNA is filed under the name uncultured bacterium. RNAcentral's name for it is "partial 16S ribosomal RNA". It matches the Rfam family "Bacterial small subunit ribosomal RNA", at positions 338 to 795 of the family's 1533-position model. The record is from RNAcentral.